RNAcentral lists this ribosomal RNA (2256 nucleotides) under Campylobacter coli. RNAcentral's name for it is "partial 23S ribosomal RNA". It matches the Rfam family "Bacterial large subunit ribosomal RNA", at positions 683 to 2925 of the family's 2925-position model. Lineage: Bacteria; Pseudomonadati; Campylobacterota; Epsilonproteobacteria; Campylobacterales; Campylobacteraceae. The record is from RNAcentral.
CUGAAUAGGGCGCUUAGUCAGAUGCUGCAGACCCGAAACGAAGUGAUCUAUCCAUGAGCAAGUUGAAGCUAGUGUAAGAACUAGUGGAGGACUGAACCCAUAGGCGUUGAAAAGCCCCGGGAUGACUUGUGGAUAGGGGUGAAAGGCCAAUCAAACUUCGUGAUAGCUGGUUCUCUCCGAAAUAUAUUUAGGUAUAGCGUUGUGUCGUAAUAUAAGGGGGUAGAGCACUGAAUGGGCUAGGGCAUACACCAAUGUACCAAACCCUAUCAAACUCCGAAUACCUUAUAUGUAAUCACAGCAGUCAGGCGGCGAGUGAUAAAAUCCGUCGUCAAGAGGGAAACAACCCAGACUACCAGCUAAGGUCCCUAAAUCUUACUUAAGUGGAAAACGAUGUGAAGUUACUUAAACAACCAGGAGGUUGGCUUAGAAGCAGCCAUCCUUUAAAGAAAGCGUAAUAGCUCACUGGUCUAGUGAUUUUGCGCGGAAAAUAUAACGGGGCUAAAGUAAGUACCGAAGCUGUAGACUUGAUUUUAUCAAGUGGUAGGAGAGCGUUCUAUUUGCGUCGAAGGUAUACCGGUAAGGAGUGCUGGAGCGAAUAGAAGUGAGCAUGCAGGCAUGAGUAGCGAUAAUUAAUGUGAGAAUCAUUAACGCCGUAAACCCAAGGUUUCCUACGCGAUGCUCGUCAUCGUAGGGUUAGUCGGGUCCUAAGUCGAGUCCGAAAGGGGUAGACGAUGGCAAAUUGGUUAAUAUUCCAAUACCAACAUUAGUGUGCGAUGGAAGGACGCUUAGGGCUAAGGGGGCUAGCGGAUGGAAGUGCUAGUCUAAGGUCGUAGGAGGUUAUACAGGCAAAUCCGUAUAACAAUACUCCGAGAACUGAAAGGCUUUUUGAAGUCUUCGGAUGGAUAGAAGAACCCCUGAUGCCGUCGAGCCAAGAAAAGUUUCUAAGUUUAGCUAAUGUUGCCCGUACCGUAAACCGACACAGGUGGGUGGGAUGAGUAUUCUAAGGCGCGUGGAAGAACUCUCUUUAAGGAACUCUGCAAAAUAGCACCGUAUCUUCGGUAUAAGGUGUGGUUCGCUUCGUAUUAGGAUUUACUCCGAAAGCGAAGAAACUUACAACAAAGAGUCCCUCCCGACUGUUUACCAAAAACACAGCACUCUGCUAACUCGUAAGAGGAUGUAUAGGGUGUGACGCCUGCCCGGUGCUCGAAGGUUAAUUGAUGGGGUUAGCAUUAGCGAAGCUCUUGAUCGAAGCCCGAGUAAACGGCGGCCGUAACUAUAACGGUCCUAAGGUAGCGAAAUUCCUUGUCGGUUAAAUACCGACCUGCAUGAAUGGCGUAACGAGAUGGGAGCUGUCUCAAAGAGGGAUCCAGUGAAAUUGUAGUGGAGGUGAAAAUUCCUCCUACCCGCGGCAAGACGGAGAGACCCCGUGGACCUUUACUACAGCUUGACACUGCUAUUUGGAUAAGAAUGUGCAGGAUAGGUGGGAGGCUUUGAGUAUAUGACGCCAGUUGUAUAUGAGCCAUUGUUGAGAUACCACUCUUUCUUAUUUGGGUAGCUAACCAGCUUGAGUUAUCCUCAAGUGGGACAAUGUCUGGUGGGUAGUUUGACUGGGGCGGUCGCCUCCCAAAUAAUAACGGAGGCUUACAAAGGUUGGCUCAGAACGGUUGGAAAUCGUUCGUAGAGUAUAAAGGUAUAAGCCAGCUUAACUGCAAGACAUACAAGUCAAGCAGAGACGAAAGUCGGUCUUAGUGAUCCGGUGGUUCUGUGUGGAAGGGCCAUCGCUCAAAGGAUAAAAGGUACCCCGGGGAUAACAGGCUGAUCUCCCCCAAGAGCUCACAUCGACGGGGAGGUUUGGCACCUCGAUGUCGGCUCAUCGCAUCCUGGGGCUGGAGCAGGUCCCAAGGGUAUGGCUGUUCGCCAUUUAAAGCGGUACGCGAGCUGGGUUCAGAACGUCGUGAGACAGUUCGGUCCCUAUCUGCCGUGGGCGUAAGAAGAUUGAAGAGAUUUGACCCUAGUACGAGAGGACCGGGUUGAACAAACCACUGGUGUAGCUGUUGUUCUGCCAAGAGCAUCGCAGCGUAGCUAAGUUUGGAAAGGAUAAACGCUGAAAGCAUCUAAGCGUGAAGCCAACUCUAAGAUGAAUCUUCUCUAAGCUCUCUAGAAGACUACUAGUUUGAUAGGCUGGGUGUGUAAUGGAUGAAAGUCCUUUAGCUGACCAGUACUAAUAGAGCGUUUGGCUUAUCUUUAAUAAAGCAU